RNAcentral lists this ribosomal RNA (819 nucleotides) under bacterium PD61. RNAcentral's name for it is "bacterial SSU rRNA". It matches the Rfam family "Bacterial small subunit ribosomal RNA", at positions 69 to 873 of the family's 1533-position model. The record is from RNAcentral.
GACAAGGAGCUUGCUCCUUUGACGUUAGCGGCGGACGGGUGAGUAACACGUGGGUAACCUACCUAUAAGACUGGGAUAACUUCGGGAAACCGGAGCUAAUACCGGAUAAUAUUUCGAACCGCAUGGUUCGAUAGUGAAAGAUGGUUUUGCUAUCACUUAUAGAUGGACCCGCGCCGUAUUAGCUAGUUGGUAAGGUAACGGCUUACCAAGGCGACGAUACGUAGCCGACCUGAGAGGGUGAUCGGCCACACUGGAACUGAGACACGGUCCAGACUCCUACGGGAGGCAGCAGUAGGGAAUCUUCCGCAAUGGGCGAAAGCCUGACGGAGCAACGCCGCGUGAGUGAUGAAGGUCUUCGGAUCGUAAAACUCUGUUAUUAGGGAAGAACAUACGUGUAAGUAACUAUGCACGUCUUGACGGUACCUAAUCAGAAAGCCACGGCUAACUACGUGCCAGCAGCCGCGGUAAUACGUAGGUGGCAAGCGUUAUCCGGAAUUAUUGGGCGUAAAGCGCGCGUAGGCGGUUUUUUAAGUCUGAUGUGAAAGCCCACGGCUCAACCGUGGAGGGUCAUUGGAAACUGGAAAACUUGAGUGCAGAAGAGGAAAGUGGAAUUCCAUGUGUAGCGGUGAAAUGCGCAGAGAUAUGGAGGAACACCAGUGGCGAAGGCGACUUUCUGGUCUGUAACUGACGCUGAUGUGCGAAAGCGUGGGGAUCAAACAGGAUUAGAUACCCUGGUAGUCCACGCCGUAAACGAUGAGUGCUAAGUGUUAGGGGGUUUCCGCCCCUUAGUGCUGCAGCUAACGCAUUAAGCACUCCGCC